AUUCCGGGGCCCUGGUUUCUUGGCGCGAUGAGGUUCCGGUUCUGUGGUGAUCUGGACUGUCCCGACUGGGUCUUGGCAGAAAUCAGCACGCUGGCCAAGAUGUCCUCUGUGAAGUUGCGGCUGCUCUGCAGCCAGGUACUAAAGGAGCUGCUGGGACAGGGAAUUGAUGUGAGUACAAGACCCAGCACCCCAUUGUCCCAUGACCUUAUGACCCCCACUGCCCUGAAACUGUGCACUAGACCCGGGGAGACAGGUGAACCAGCCUCUCAACCUCUCUGGGCACCUCCCUUCCUUCUUUCCAGCUUGUCUGUUCCUUAUCGCAGGAUCCAGGCUAGGGGUGAGGGGCUGGUGAGCAGGGGCCUGGCACCCCCUGAAGGUCUCCUUUCCCCUUAGUAUGAGAAGAUCCUGAAGCUCACGGCUGACGCCAAGUUUGGUGAGUACCUUGCUGAGUCUACAGGCCCCAGGCAACCCUGCGAACUUGGCCUGGUACCUGGUACAGAGGGGCCCCCUACCCCUCCCAGCAGCAUCCUUAACUUACCUUCCGUAGUGGAGGAGCAUGAGGGAAAGAAAGACUGACAGUCCCACCUU
This 588-nucleotide small RNA is filed under the name Pongo abelii (Sumatran orangutan). Its description in RNAcentral is "retained intron". Lineage: Eukaryota; Metazoa; Chordata; Mammalia; Primates; Hominidae. The record is from RNAcentral.